GUCAGGAUGCUCGAGUGGUCUAAGGCGCUGUGUUAAGGUUUCAGUCUCUUCUGGAGGUGUGGGUUCAAAUCCCCCCUCCCCUGACA
Non-coding RNA from Ameiurus melas (black bullhead), 86 nucleotides. Lineage: Eukaryota; Metazoa; Chordata; Actinopteri; Siluriformes; Ictaluridae. The record is from the annotation of a GenBank genome assembly.